CGUUCCCGGGUCUUGUACACACCGCCCCGUCAAGCCAUGGGAGUUGGGAGGACCUGAAGGCAGUUGCUGCGAGGCGCUGUUUUAGGGGUUAAAACCAAUGACUGGGGCU
Molecule: ribosomal RNA, 109 nt
Filed under: uncultured bacterium
Lineage: Bacteria
Description: partial 16S ribosomal RNA
Source: RNAcentral